AGUGAACGCUGGCGGUAGGCCUAACACAUGCAAGUCGAACGGCAGCACAGUAAGAGCUUGCUCUUACGGGUGGCGAGUGGCGGACGGGUGAGGAAUACAUCGGAAUCUACUUUUUCGUGGGGGAUAACGUAGGGAAACUUACGCUAAUACCGCAUACGACCUACGGGUGAAAGCAGGGGAUCUUCGGACCUUGCGCGAUUGAAUGAGCCGAUUUCGGAUUAGCUAGUUGGCGGGGUAAAGGCCCACCAAGGCGACGAUCCGUAGCUGGUCUGAGAGGAUGAUCAGCCACACUGGAACUGAGACACGGUCCAGACUCCUACGGGAGGCAGCAGUGGGGAAUAUUGGACAAUGGGCGCAAGCCUGAUCUAGCCAUACCGCGUGGGUGAAGAAGCCCUUCGGGUUGUAAAGCCCUUUUGUUGGGAAAGAAAAGCAGCAGGUUAAUACCCCGCUGUUCUGACGGUACCCAAAGAAUAAGCACCGGCUAACUUCGUG
RNAcentral lists this ribosomal RNA (492 nucleotides) under uncultured bacterium. Its description in RNAcentral is "partial 16S ribosomal RNA". It matches the Rfam family "Bacterial small subunit ribosomal RNA", at positions 29 to 507 of the family's 1533-position model. The record is from RNAcentral.